UGUUCUUGUUUCCCGUAAACAUGAGGACCCCUGUACACCCCUGUAUCAAAUGUUCAUGGUGUAAUAAUUACUUCCCGUUGUCCGCACUCGUAGCUCAUAGGGCGGCCUGCCUUCCAGAGGGCCUUGGGACUGGAUCGAAAGAUAUAUCUACUAGAAACAAUGAAGAGACGUCGUCGACUAGCUCUGAUCGAUCAGAUGUCGGUUUCUCUCAACCAGACCCCAGCGAUAUUGGAAGUUGUUCUCCACGGGCGGGUCUCAGCGACGAAGCCAGUCAAAACCAAAGGACUAUCUCCGAAGAAGGCGGGUCUGGUAGGCUCAGCCAUUGGCCCUCCUCUUCAACGAUCGGUAGUGGACGAAAACGAAAACAAGCGAAUACAGGAACAAACGACACCUGCAGGAAAAAGCAAGCCCGUCGUGAGGGAUUCUCCCAUCCAAACAGUUCUCCACAGCCAGGACCCAGCGGUUAUAACCCGGGACGGCCGACAACAACACCCUCACCAACACCAGGUGAAAUAAGCCAACAUUUCAACGGGGCCUUAACAACGAUCGACGUGCCCGUCCCACCAGCAGACAACGGCGACAUUGCAUCAUAUUUCAACAACAACACUGGCCGUCUUCGCGAGGCAGUAGAGUCUGUAUUCCAAGGCUGCCAGCAGGUUAGAC
Eriocheir sinensis (Chinese mitten crab) is the source of this 663-nucleotide long non-coding RNA. RefSeq lists it as uncharacterized. The transcript is spliced from 4 exons. The record is from RefSeq and is a predicted model, not a curated record. Lineage: Eukaryota; Metazoa; Arthropoda; Malacostraca; Decapoda; Varunidae.